ACCUAUUGCUCUGUGGGGACAGGAAGAGAUCAUAACCACACGAGAGACAAAGAGGAUCACAUAAGGGUUUCAGAGCCUCAUGUAAUCAACACAAUGUCAUUGGCAAAUAAAGAGCACUCAGAAGACGUCAGUACCCAUGAUGCUCUGAUUUAUAAGGAAACUCUUCAACUUGGAUGGUCUGCUCUCUCAUCCUUGAUCCUGGCAAACACUUAGGCUGGUUAUUUCAGAAUGAAAGCUCCAGAUUAAUCAAAUCCCAAUGGAAGGAUACAGGAUGGAAGCAAGUAAUCUUCAAUACGGAAACAAUUAUUCUGCAUAAGGAAAGAUAUAAAAGCCAUCAUUCAGAAACACAUAUUCCUGGAAAUGAGGUAGACUGUUCAUUUAGAGAGAACAAGAAAUAACAGAUGAACAGUCAGCAUAGUACUGGUCUCCAUAAAACCCCUAAAGGAAAGCCCUUAUGCCUUUAGUUGGAACCUCUGUGGAGGAUUUGUAGCAGACUUGGGAUAAGAAUCAAACAGGAUAAGAAGGC
RNAcentral lists this long non-coding RNA (526 nucleotides) under Monodelphis domestica (gray short-tailed opossum). RNAcentral's name for it is "lncRNA (ENSMODG00000030890.2)". Lineage: Eukaryota; Metazoa; Chordata; Mammalia; Didelphimorphia; Didelphidae. The record is from RNAcentral.